Long non-coding RNA from Astatotilapia calliptera (eastern happy), 470 nucleotides. NCBI's taxonomy places the organism in Eukaryota, Metazoa, Chordata, Actinopteri, Cichliformes, Cichlidae. The record is from Ensembl.
GGUAGAGGAAACAGGAAGCUGGUCGCUUGUUAGCCUGCAGGAUAUGUUGUUGCUCUUUAAAACGUUUCUGCCUUGAAGAGUUAUUGCUUGUGAGUAUUAACCCUUUAGAACCGGUAGGAGCGGACACAAGUCUGGAGAAGUAUAAUUUGUUAAGUGCUUAUCUUUGGAACUGGUCUCUGUCACAAGCAGAACAAUAAGGACGAACAAUGUCAGUGGAAAUACAUUUUCAAAAUGCUGACAAUGAAGCACGCAUUGGUCUGAGCCUACAAGAUGAGAAUCCUAUAGGAGAACUUUGCAGGUGUUCGUGUGGGCAAAGAAUGGAUCCAUUGACCUGUUGGAUACACUUACGUCUGCUGCUGCGAUCACUUUAUUCUCUGCAGUGGUCUUGCUCCUGUUCCACUUCAACAAAUACAUCCAAUUAAACAAAUGCACAUUAAAAGGAAGUUCAAUAAAGUUUAUUUCACUUUAAA